Non-coding RNA from Leeuwenhoekiella marinoflava DSM 3653, 402 nucleotides. NCBI's taxonomy places the organism in Bacteria, Pseudomonadati, Bacteroidota, Flavobacteriia, Flavobacteriales, Flavobacteriaceae. The record is from Rfam.
GGGGUCGAUUUGGUUUUGACAGCGGGUCUAAUUGAGUAGUAAGCACGUCGAGCGCUGGGACACAAGCUCGUAAAUCUCAUGUUUCACACUUUUUAAACGGCGAGAAUAACUACGCCAUGGCUGCAUAAUCCGAAUUACAGUAGGAUUUACUUAAUCUCAUACAAGGUAUGAGACCAUGAUACCUCUGAAAAGCCUUGGUUUACGGCGUUUCGCUUAGAGGUACCGAAAAAGUAAACAUAGCUAUUGCAGGAUCUUGAUGUGAUAGUGAAACUUAAUUGAGAAUAAGGUACCAGUUGGUAGUUGCCGACCGGCUGUUGCUCGAAAAUCAAUUGGCAAAUAAACGUGUAGAAAGCUAUUGAGUUGCCUGUUUGCACGGCGGUUCGAACCCGCCCGACUCCACUU